RNAcentral lists this transfer RNA (93 nucleotides) under Thermus brockianus. RNAcentral describes it as "tRNA-Ser". It matches the Rfam family "tRNA". From Rfam's summary of the family: Transfer RNA (tRNA) molecules are approximately 80 nucleotides in length. Lineage: Bacteria; Thermotogati; Deinococcota; Deinococci; Thermales; Thermaceae. The record is from RNAcentral.
GGGAGGGGUGCCGGAGCGGUUGAACGGGCCGGUCUCGAAAACCGGUAGGCCCCCCAAGGGGCCUCGCGGGUUCGAAUCCCGCCCCCUCCGCCA